GGGAAUAUUGGACAAUGGGGGGAACCCUGAUCCAGCGACGCCGCGUGAGUGAAGAAGUAUUUCGGUAUGUAAAGCUCUAUCAGCAGGGAAGAAAGAAAUGACGGUACCUGACUAAGAAGCCCCGGCUAACUACGUGCCAGCAGCCGCGGUAAUACGUAGGGGGCAAGCGUUAUCCGGAUUUACUGGGUGUAAAGGGGGCGCAGACGGCAGCGCAAGCCAGGAGUGAAAGCCCGGGGCCCAACCCCGGGACUGCUCUUGGAACUGCGCGGCUGGAGUGCAGGAGGGGCAGGCGGAAUUCCUGGUGUAGCGGUGAAAUGCGUAGAUAUCAGGAGGAACACCGGUGGCGAAGGCGGCCUGCUGGACUGCGACUGACGUUGAGGCCCGAAAGCGUGGGGAGCAAACAGG
Molecule: ribosomal RNA, 405 nt
Filed under: uncultured bacterium
Lineage: Bacteria
Description: bacterial SSU rRNA
Rfam family: Bacterial small subunit ribosomal RNA
Source: RNAcentral